Molecule: ribosomal RNA, 302 nt
Filed under: uncultured bacterium
Lineage: Bacteria
Description: partial 16S ribosomal RNA
Rfam family: Bacterial small subunit ribosomal RNA
Source: RNAcentral
GCAGCCGCCGCGGUAAAACAGAGGGUGCGAGCGUUAAUCGGAUUUACUGGGCGUAAAGCGUGCGUAGGCGGCUAAUUGAGUCGGAUGUGAAAUCCCCGAGCUUAACUUGGGAAUUGCAUUCGAUACUGGUUAGCUAGAGUGUGGGAGAGGAUGGUAGAAUUCCAGGUGUAGCGGUGAAAUGCGUAGAGAUCUGGAGGAAUACCGAUGGCGAAGGCAGCCAUCUGGCCUAACACUGACGCUGAGGUACGAAAGCAUGGGGAGCAAACAGGAUUAGAUACCCCCGUAGUCCCUGUCUCUUAUAA